AGAGAAACUGCACCGCCAGAACGCCUUGCCUUGCCAAAUCCCACAGGAGCUCAGCGGUGGAAGCAGCGGAGGAGAACCACAGUGGGAAAUGGCACAAAGGCUGGCACCUCACCAAGAACAGCAGGGAUGGAGAAGCAGUGAACAAUGGAGAAGCUGCUUUAAUUCUCCUCCUUUCCUUUCAGCUAUUGGAAGAAUGCUUAGAUGAUUUCCAACACUGCAGUGGACAACAGCACCAUUGGAAGCACUCAGUGAAACCCAAAUUAUGUUAUGGAUGCUUCCUCAAUGCUGUGACACAGGCAUAAGGCCUUGAUCUCAUUCAGGCCCUUAGACUAACCAGCCUCCAGACUCAUAAACCAAAUAAAGUUUUGUGGAUUUUGAAUGACCUAAUCUCAGGGCAAGGGUUGCAAACUUAGACACAUAAGGAACCGGGCAAGAUGGUGCUGAUGGACAAGGGCAGGAUGUUCUCUGCGCUCUGGUUCCCCCUCUAAAAGGAAACAAUGACUGAUAUGUGACAGUCUGCCAACAACCCUCAGCCUGCAGUGUUUACAAUGGCUCUUGAAAUCCCUUGAGGUCCUAGAACUUCUGUCUGUCUGCUCCAAAAUUUCAAGGAAAUAUGACAUUUUCUUUUAAGG
This 632-nucleotide long non-coding RNA is filed under the name Mus caroli (Ryukyu mouse). RNAcentral describes it as "lncRNA (MGP_CAROLIEiJ_G0005480.1)". The record is from RNAcentral. Lineage: Eukaryota; Metazoa; Chordata; Mammalia; Rodentia; Muridae.